UGGGGAAUUUUGGACAAUGGGCGAAAGCCUGAUCCAGCCAUGCCGCGUGCAGGAUGAAGGCCUUCGGGUUGUAAACUGCUUUUGUACGGAACGAAAAGACUCUGGUUAAUACCUGGGGUCCAUGACGGUACCGUAAGAAUAAGCACCGGCUAACUACGUGCCAGCAGCCGCGGUAAUACGUAGGGUGCAAGCGUUAAUCGGAAUUACUGGGCGUAAAGCGUGCGCAGGCGGUUAUAUAAGACAGAUGUGAAAUCCCCGGGCUCAACCUGGGAACUGCAUUUGUGACUGUAUAGCUAGAGUACGGCAGAGGGGGAUGGAAUUCCGCGUGUAGCAGUGAAAUGCGUAGAUAUGCGGAGGAACACCGAUGGCGAAGGCAAUCCCCUGGGCCUGUACUGACGCUCAUGCACGAAAGCGUGGGGAGCAAACAGGAUUAGAUACCCCCGUAGUCC
Molecule: ribosomal RNA, 449 nt
Filed under: uncultured prokaryote
Description: bacterial SSU rRNA
Rfam family: Bacterial small subunit ribosomal RNA
Source: RNAcentral